AACAAACACAAAAUCAAUUAAAUCAUGAAAAAUAUUAAUAAUGAUCCAAAAAAUAAUUUUAAUUCAAAAUAUGAAAGAGGAAAUUAUUUGAAAUUUUUUGGUGAAACUGUCAUAUUUUUUAGAUCAAUAUUAAAAUUAACAUGAAUUAAUGAAAAUAAAAGGAAUAAAUGAAAAUAAGAAAAUAUAAAAAAAAAUGUGAGCCACUUGAUCUUCCUCAUUAAUUGAGGUGGCAGAUCAAGUGGUCUGAAACGC
Molecule: long non-coding RNA, 252 nt
Filed under: Lathyrus oleraceus (garden pea)
Lineage: Eukaryota; Viridiplantae; Streptophyta; Magnoliopsida; Fabales; Fabaceae
Description: Pisum sativum (pea) long non-coding RNA (PSAT_LNC022118)
Source: RNAcentral